UACGAAGGGUCCUAGCGUUGUUCGGAUUUACUGGGCGUAAAGCGCACGCAGGCGGCUCGAUCAGUCAGGGGUGAAAUCCCAGAGCUCAACUCUGGAACUGCCUUUGAUACUGUCGAUCUGGAGUAUGGAAGAGGUGAGUGGAAUUCCGGGUGUAGAGGUGAAAUUCGUAGAUAUUCGGAGGAACACCAGUGGCGAAGGCGGCUCACUGGUCCAGUACUGACGCUGAGGUGCGAAAGCGUGGGGAGCAAACAGG
This 253-nucleotide ribosomal RNA is filed under the name uncultured bacterium. RNAcentral describes it as "partial 16S ribosomal RNA". It matches the Rfam family "Bacterial small subunit ribosomal RNA", at positions 524 to 776 of the family's 1533-position model. The record is from RNAcentral.